UACAGAGGGUGCGAGCGUUAAUCGGAAUUACUGGGCGUAAAGCGCGCGUAGGCGGCUUUGCAAGUCGGGUGUGAAAUCCCCAAGCUUAACUUGGGAACUGCAUUCGAGACUGCAUUGCUAGAGUAUGGGAGAGGGAAGUGGAAUUUCCGGUGUAGCGGUGAAAUGCGUAGAUAUCGGGAAGAACACCUAUGGCGAAGGCAGCCCUCUGGGACGGUACUGACGCUGAGACGCGAAAGCGUGGGGAGCGAACAGG
Molecule: ribosomal RNA, 253 nt
Filed under: uncultured bacterium
Lineage: Bacteria
Description: partial 16S ribosomal RNA
Rfam family: Bacterial small subunit ribosomal RNA
Source: RNAcentral